Molecule: long non-coding RNA, 748 nt
Organism: Equus quagga
Lineage: Eukaryota; Metazoa; Chordata; Mammalia; Perissodactyla; Equidae
Exons: 3
Source: RefSeq, a predicted model, not a curated record
AGUUGGCUCCCACACGUAUGGGAACUUCCUGUUCUUGGCAAAAGAUAGAGAAGCUUUGACUCUUCCUGUGAUUCUCCUGUGCUAGGUGUGGGGUGCCUCUGAAGAGCGGGGCUCCAGCCAAGGAGUCUUUCCAUCUUCCUGGAAGAGGACGCACCACCUGGAGUGAUGUGAGCGACGUGGCUUCCUGACUCCUCUCCUUUCCCACCCUCUUUCUUUGCACCCUGUGAACUUCUCCAACUCUGGAGAAAUCUUCCCUCCAUCCUUAACGUUACAUCUCCCAUGCCGUUUCUUUCUGAUUGUACAUCACAAAAGAGAGAGGAAGACCUAAUGGUCGAAGAGCCAGACCUAUGGUUUGGGGCCAAGUUAUCACAAGUUCUUUAGAAGGAAAUCCUAGUAAUAUACGGUGCAGUGAACAAGAUAUUAAAAAUUCGUCACCCCUACAAUGCUCCCCAACGAGAUAUGCACUUCUUCUUGGGAAAGUUAUUGCUCAUCUUCCUCCGUAAAUUCAUGACCAGUGCAUACCCCAGAGACCUAGUUCAAAGCCCUUCUCUGGAAGGCAUCCCCUUAUUAGCCUUCUUUGACAUGGCAAAUGCCACAUUGGGGGUGGGGGGGGGGGGGAAUAAUUCCUUCCUCCCCCAAUACAUUGUACGAGUCCCCACACAAUGGAAUGUUGAAAUUCGUCACGAUGGGGAAGAUACAGAAUCCGAUGGAGUUCAAGUCCCAGGAAAACCUUGGAGGGGGCCUGAAA